RNAcentral lists this ribosomal RNA (292 nucleotides) under Escherichia coli. RNAcentral describes it as "partial 16S ribosomal RNA". It matches the Rfam family "Bacterial small subunit ribosomal RNA", at positions 1254 to 1533 of the family's 1533-position model. Lineage: Bacteria; Pseudomonadati; Pseudomonadota; Gammaproteobacteria; Enterobacterales; Enterobacteriaceae. The record is from RNAcentral.
CUCGCGAGAGCAAGCGGACCUCAUAAAAUGCGUCGUAGUCCGGAUUGGAGUCUGCAACUCGACUCCAUGAAGUCGGAAUCGCUAGUAAUCGUGGAUCAGAAUGCCACGGUGAAUACGUUCCCGGGCCUUGUACACACCGCCCGUCACACCAUGGGAGUGGGUUGCAAAAGAAGUAGGUAGCUUAACCUUCGGGAGGGCGCUUACCACUUUGUGAUUCAUGACUGGGGUGAAGUCGUAACAAGGUAACCGUAGGGGAACCUGCGGUUGGAUCACCUCCUUACCUUAAAGAAGC